CCCCUCGGCGGUGUGCACGG
Molecule: microRNA, 20 nt
Filed under: Marek's disease virus serotype 2 MDV2
Lineage: Duplodnaviria; Heunggongvirae; Peploviricota; Herviviricetes; Herpesvirales; Orthoherpesviridae
Description: mdv2-miR-M19-5p
Gene: mdv2-miR-M19-5p
Source: miRBase by way of RNAcentral